This 2903-nucleotide ribosomal RNA is filed under the name Yersinia pseudotuberculosis. Its description in RNAcentral is "bacterial LSU rRNA". It matches the Rfam family "Bacterial large subunit ribosomal RNA". Lineage: Bacteria; Pseudomonadati; Pseudomonadota; Gammaproteobacteria; Enterobacterales; Yersiniaceae. The record is from RNAcentral. RNAcentral also lists the same sequence under 2 other names.
UAAGCGACUAAGCGUACACGGUGGAUGCCUAGGCAGUCAGAGGCGAUGAAGGGCGUGCUAAUCUGCGAAAAGCGUCGGUAAGCUGAUAUGAAGCGUUAUAACCGACGAUACCCGAAUGGGGAAACCCAGUGCAAUACGUUGCACUAUCGUUAGAUGAAUACAUAGUCUAACGAGGCGAACCGGGGGAACUGAAACAUCUAAGUACCCCGAGGAAAAGAAAUCAACCGAGAUUCCCCCAGUAGCGGCGAGCGAACGGGGAGGAGCCCAGAGUCUGAAUCAGUUUGUGUGUUAGUGGAAGCGUCUGGAAAGUCGCACGGUACAGGGUGAUAGUCCCGUACACCAAAAUGCACAGGCUGUGAACUCGAUGAGUAGGGCGGGACACGUGACAUCCUGUCUGAAUAUGGGGGGACCAUCCUCCAAGGCUAAAUACUCCUGACUGACCGAUAGUGAACCAGUACCGUGAGGGAAAGGCGAAAAGAACCCCGGCGAGGGGAGUGAAAUAGAACCUGAAACCGUGUACGUACAAGCAGUGGGAGCACCUUCGUGGUGUGACUGCGUACCUUUUGUAUAAUGGGUCAGCGACUUAUAUUUUGUAGCAAGGUUAACCGAAUAGGGGAGCCGUAGGGAAACCGAGUCUUAACUGGGCGUCUAGUUGCAAGGUAUAGACCCGAAACCCGGUGAUCUAGCCAUGGGCAGGUUGAAGGUUGGGUAACACUAACUGGAGGACCGAACCGACUAAUGUUGAAAAAUUAGCGGAUGACUUGUGGCUGGGGGUGAAAGGCCAAUCAAACCGGGAGAUAGCUGGUUCUCCCCGAAAGCUAUUUAGGUAGCGCCUCGUGAACUCAUCUUCGGGGGUAGAGCACUGUUUCGGCUAGGGGGCCAUCCCGGCUUACCAAACCGAUGCAAACUCCGAAUACCGAAGAAUGUUAUCACGGGAGACACACGGCGGGUGCUAACGUCCGUCGUGAAGAGGGAAACAACCCAGACCGCCAGCUAAGGUCCCAAAGUCAUGGUUAAGUGGGAAACGAUGUGGGAAGGCACAGACAGCCAGGAUGUUGGCUUAGAAGCAGCCAUCAUUUAAAGAAAGCGUAAUAGCUCACUGGUCGAGUCGGCCUGCGCGGAAGAUGUAACGGGGCUAAACCAUGCACCGAAGCUGCGGCAGCGACACUUAGGUGUUGUUGGGUAGGGGAGCGUUCUGUAAGCCGUUGAAGGUGACCUGUGAGGGUUGCUGGAGGUAUCAGAAGUGCGAAUGCUGACAUAAGUAACGAUAAUGCGGGUGAAAAACCCGCACGCCGGAAGACCAAGGGUUCCUGUCCAACGUUAAUCGGGGCAGGGUGAGUCGACCCCUAAGGCGAGGCUGAAAAGCGUAGUCGAUGGGAAACAGGUUAAUAUUCCUGUACUUGGUGUUACUGCGAAGGGGGGACGGAGAAGGCUAGGCUGGCCGGGCGACGGUUGUCCCGGUUUAAGCGUGUAGGGGGAGUGACCAGGUAAAUCCGGUUGCUUAUCAACCCUGAGGCGUGAUGACGAUGCACUACGGUGCAGAAGCAGUUGAUGCCAUGCUUCCAGGAAAAGCCUCUAAGCAUCAGGUAACAUUAAAUCGUACCCCAAACCGACACAGGUGGUCAGGUAGAGAAUACUCAGGCGCUUGAGAGAACUCGGGUGAAGGAACUAGGCAAAAUGGUGCCGUAACUUCGGGAGAAGGCACGCUGGCGUUAGGUGAAAGGACUAGCUCCUGGAGCUGAAGCCAGUCGCAGAUACCAGCUGGCUGCAACUGUUUAAUAAAAACACAGCACUGUGCAAACACGAAAGUGGACGUAUACGGUGUGACGCCUGCCCGGUGCUGGAAGGUUAAUUGAUGGGGUCAGCCGCAAGGCGAAGCUCUUGAUCGAAGCCCCAGUAAACGGCGGCCGUAACUAUAACGGUCCUAAGGUAGCGAAAUUCCUUGUCGGGUAAGUUCCGACCUGCACGAAUGGCGUAAUGAUGGCCAGGCUGUCUCCACCCGAGACUCAGUGAAAUUGAACUCGCUGUGAAGAUGCAGUGUACCCGCGGCAAGACGGAAAGACCCCGUGAACCUUUACUAUAGCUUGACACUGAACAUUGAGCCUUGAUGUGUAGGAUAGGUGGGAGGCCUUGAAGUGUGGACGCCAGUCUGCAUGGAGCCAACCUUGAAAUACCACCCUUUAAUGUUUGAUGUUCUAACUCGGCCCCAUAAUCUGGGGUGAGGACAGUGUCUGGUGGGUAGUUUGACUGGGGCGGUCUCCUCCCAAAGAGUAACGGAGGAGCACGAAGGUUAGCUAAUCACGGUCGGACAUCGUGAGGUUAGUGCAAAGGCAUAAGCUAGCUUGACUGCGAGAGUGACGGCUCGAGCAGGUACGAAAGUAGGUCUUAGUGAUCCGGUGGUUCUGAAUGGAAGGGCCAUCGCUCAACGGAUAAAAGGUACUCCGGGGAUAACAGGCUGAUACCGCCCAAGAGUUCAUAUCGACGGCGGUGUUUGGCACCUCGAUGUCGGCUCAUCACAUCCUGGGGCUGAAGUAGGUCCCAAGGGUAUGGCUGUUCGCCAUUUAAAGUGGUACGCGAGCUGGGUUUAGAACGUCGUGAGACAGUUCGGUCCCUAUCUGCCGUGGGCGUUGGAAGAUUGAGAGGGGCUGCUCCUAGUACGAGAGGACCGGAGUGGACGAAUCACUGGUGUUCGGGUUGUCAUGCCAAUGGCAUUGCCCGGUAGCUAAAUUCGGAAGAGAUAACCGCUGAAAGCAUCUAAGCGGGAAACUUGCCUCGAGAUGAGUCUUCCCUGGGGCUUAAAGCCCCCUGAAGGAACGUUAAAGACUAUGACGUUGAUAGGCUGGGUGUGUAAGUGCAGCGAUGUAUUGAGCUAACCAGUACUAAUGAUCCGUGAGGCUUAACCU